AACGAACGCUGGCGGCAUGCCUAACACAUGCAAGUCGAACGAGACCUUCGGGUCUAGUGGCGCACGGGUGCGUAACGCGUGGGAAUCUGCCCUUGGGUUCGGAAUAACAGUUAGAAAUGACUGCUAAUACCGGAUAAUGUCUUCGGACCAAAGAUUUAUCGCCCAGGGAUGAGCCCCGCGUAGGAUUAGCUAGUUGGUGAGGUAAAGGCUCACCAAGGCGACGAUCCUUAGCUGGUCUGAGAGGAUGAUCAGCCACACUGGGACUGAGACACGGCCCAGACUCCUACGGGAGGCAGCAGUGGGGAAUAUUGGACAAUGGGCGAAAGCCUGAUCCAGCAAUGCCGCGUGAGUGAUGAAGGCCUUAGGGUUGUAAAGCUCUUUGUCAGGGAAGAAACGGUUGUGGCUAAUAUCCAUGGCUAAUGACGGUACCUGAAGAAUAAGCACCGGACUAACUACGUGCCAGCAGCCG
Molecule: ribosomal RNA, 469 nt
Filed under: uncultured bacterium
Lineage: Bacteria
Description: bacterial SSU rRNA
Rfam family: Bacterial small subunit ribosomal RNA
Source: RNAcentral